Molecule: long non-coding RNA, 616 nt
Filed under: Saimiri boliviensis boliviensis (Bolivian squirrel monkey)
Lineage: Eukaryota; Metazoa; Chordata; Mammalia; Primates; Cebidae
Description: lncRNA (ENSSBOG00000036579.1)
Source: RNAcentral
GGCGCAGGCGCGCGCCUAAGGGCUUUGCAGGGCUCUCUGAGUCUGAGAGGUCGGAGGCUGCGAGUGUUGCUGCUGAAGGCUGUAGUGGACCCGGCCGGAUCGCGGAUUCUGGGCUAGAAAGCGGAUUUGGAAUCGCACAUUGAGGGUUGGCGCCAGGUGGGGGUGGGAGGAGCCAUGGCUCAGCAGCUGGUUGUUGGGGAUCUGAGAAGUCACCACCUUGAAGAAGUUCGUCGGCUGCGGGAGCCAGGGACCAAGGCAGAGCAGAACCUCAGGUCCUGGGCUCCAUAGACGCCGUCUACACCGCUUCUGGGCACCGAAUCCGGGACGCGGAACCGCCGAAGAUCCACAGGGCGGCUGCCAGGGGCGACGCCGCGGAGGUGGAGCUGCCUGGCGUGCAGGAGCGGAGACCUGGAUGCCCGGGACAAGCCGCACAGAUCCUGGGAGUUCUGAUGAAUCUGCAGUCAGGUGUCCUUGAAAAAGUAUCAGAGCCUUUACCUGGACCUGCCAAUGGAAAAACAAAACAAAACAAAAAGACAAGUAUAGUCAAUGUAAAAGAAGGUAAGAAUACUAUUUUAUUUAAAAAGUCAUUUGAUAGAAUUUUUAAAAAAUUAGCACU